GUCCGAAUGGCACAGGCACUUCUGAGCCAGUAAGGAAGGUUACUUGAGGAACCAUUUCACGCCACUAGGACUGGCCUGCCCCACCUGUGCUGGUGGAAGAGGUAUGCUAUGGGCACUGUCAGUCAAGGAAUUCCAGCUGGUGGGGUCCAGAAGAACAGCCUUCUCUGCCGCACAACCCGGGCCCUUUGGAACAUCUUGCCGCUUUGAGUGAUAUAAUCAUGGCACUGCUGGGGAGGAGCCCUGCCCUCAAGAAAUUGCUGGGAAAUUUUAUUUUCCUUGGAGAAACUGUCUACCCAAUUUAACAAAAUAGCAGAGUUGGAAGGGACCUCGGAGGUCUUCUAGUCCAACUCUCUGCUCAAGAAGGAAACCCUAGCUAGAACAUAAUUACAUAGAGAUAAUUACAUAGAGAAAUCUUACUGACCACAUAGUAGAGUGAUAGUACACAGAAUCACCCUUGUAACCCAGGAAGAAGAAGCAUCCAUAUGGGGUAGAAGGUA
Molecule: long non-coding RNA, 497 nt
Organism: Ahaetulla prasina
Lineage: Eukaryota; Metazoa; Chordata; Lepidosauria; Squamata; Colubridae
Exons: 3
Source: RefSeq, a predicted model, not a curated record